UACGUAGGGGGCAAGCGUUGUCCGGAUUUAUUGGGCGUAAAGAGCGUGUAGGCGGCUUGGUAGGUCCGCUGUGAAAACCCGAGGCUCAACCUCGGGCCUGCAGUCGAUACGGGCAAACUAGAGUACUGCAGGGGAGACUGGAAUUCCUGGUGUAGCGGUGAAAUGCGCAGAUAUCAGGAGGAACACCGGUGGCGAAGGCGGGUCUCUGGGCAGUAACUGACGCUGAGGAGCGAAAGCGUGGGGAGCGAACAGG
This 253-nucleotide ribosomal RNA is filed under the name uncultured bacterium. RNAcentral's name for it is "partial 16S ribosomal RNA". It matches the Rfam family "Bacterial small subunit ribosomal RNA", at positions 524 to 776 of the family's 1533-position model. The record is from RNAcentral.